GGAAAUGUGCCCGAGACCAAAGGAUCACUUUGAUAGAGUGAAAUACAGAGAGUAACCCCUCUCAUUUCCU
RNAcentral lists this transfer RNA (70 nucleotides) under Plica plica (tree runner). RNAcentral's name for it is "tRNA-Ile". Lineage: Eukaryota; Metazoa; Chordata; Lepidosauria; Squamata; Tropiduridae. The record is from RNAcentral.